CCCGACCGGUAUCGAGGUGGGGCUAAGCCAUGCAAGUCGUACGUCCUCCAGCCACGUGGGGGACGUGGCGCACGGCUCAGUAGUACGCAGCUAACCUACCCUAAGGAGGGGGAUAAUCCCGGGAAACUGGGGCUAAUCCCUCAUAGACCUGGGGCACUGGAAGGUCCCUAGGUUGAAACGGGUGAGCUGGCAAGCCGGUUCACCUGCCUUAGGAUGGGGCUGCGUCCGAUCAGGUAGUUGGUGGGGUAAUGGCCCACCAAGCCUAUGACCGGUGCGGGCUCUGAGAGGAGGAGCCCGGAGAUGGACCCUGAGACAAGGGUCCAGGCCCUACGGGGCGCAGCAGGCGCGAAACCUUCGCAAUGCCCGAAAGGGUGACGAGGCUACCCCGAGUGUCGUCCGCUAAGGACGGCUUUUGUCGGGUCUAAAAAGCCCGACGAAUAAGGGGAGGGCAAGUCUGGUGUCAGCCGCCGCGGUAAUACCAGCUCCCCGACUGGUCGGGACGAUUAUUGGGUCUAAAGCGUCCGUAGCCGGCCCUGUAUGUGAUCCGUUAAAUCCAGCGGCUCAACCGCUGGGCUGCGGAUCAUACUAUGGAGCUAGGGGACGGGAGAGGCCGGAGGUACUCCGCGGGUAGGGGUAAAAUCCGCUGAUCCGCGGAAGACCAACAGUGGCGAAGGCGUCCGGCCAGAACGCGCCCGACGGUGAGGGACGAAAGCCAGGGGAACGAACCGGAUUAGAUACCCGGGUAGUCCUGGCCGUAAACGAUGCCCGCUAGGUCUUGGUGAAGCUUAGGGUUUCAUCAGGGCCGCAGGGAAGCCGUUAAGCGGGCCACCUGGGGAGUACGGCCGCAAGGCUGAAACUUAAAGGAAUUGGCGGGGGAGCACCACAAGGGGUGAAGCCUGCGGUUUAAUUGGAGUCAACGCCGGGAACCUUACCAGGGUGACGGCAGAGUGAAGGUCAGCUAAAGACCUUACCUGACAAGCCGAGAGGAGGUGCAUGGCCGUCGCCAGCUCGUGCUGUGAAGUGUCCUGUUAAGUCAGGCAACGAGCGAGACCCUCGCUGCCAGUUGCUUCUAUGUUCCGAAA
RNAcentral lists this ribosomal RNA (1082 nucleotides) under uncultured archaeon. Its description in RNAcentral is "bacterial SSU rRNA". It matches the Rfam family "Archaeal small subunit ribosomal RNA", at positions 21 to 1083 of the family's 1478-position model. The record is from RNAcentral.